GCGAAAUGCGAUACUUGGUGUGAAUUGCAGAAUCCCGUGAACCAUCGAGUCUUUGAACGCAAGUUGCGCCCGAAGCCGUUAGGCCGAGGGCACGUCUGCCUGGGCGUCACG
RNAcentral lists this ribosomal RNA (111 nucleotides) under Convolvulus ulcinus. Its description in RNAcentral is "partial 5.8S ribosomal RNA". It matches the Rfam family "5.8S ribosomal RNA", at positions 48 to 154 of the family's 154-position model. Rfam says of the family: 5.8S ribosomal RNA (5.8S rRNA) is a component of the large subunit of the eukaryotic ribosome. The record is from RNAcentral. Lineage: Eukaryota; Viridiplantae; Streptophyta; Magnoliopsida; Solanales; Convolvulaceae.